Molecule: ribosomal RNA, 293 nt
Filed under: uncultured bacterium
Lineage: Bacteria
Description: partial 16S ribosomal RNA
Rfam family: Bacterial small subunit ribosomal RNA
Source: RNAcentral
GUGCCAGCCGCCGCGGUAAUACGAAGGGGGCUAGCGUUGCUCGGAAUCACUGGGCGUAAAGGGUGCGUAGGCGGGUUUCUAAGUCAGAGGUGAAAGCCUGGAGCUCAACUCCAGAACUGCCUUUGAUACUGGAAGUCUUGAGUAUGGCAGAGGUGAGUGGAACUGCGAGUGUAGAGGUGAAAUUCGUAGAUAUUCGCAAGAACACCAGUGGCGAAGGCGGCUCACUGGGCCAUUACUGACGCUGAGGCACGAAAGCGUGGGGAGCAAACAGGAUUAGAAACCCCAGUAGUCCA